RNAcentral lists this ribosomal RNA (1144 nucleotides) under Bacillus amyloliquefaciens. Its description in RNAcentral is "bacterial SSU rRNA". It matches the Rfam family "Bacterial small subunit ribosomal RNA", at positions 53 to 1176 of the family's 1533-position model. Lineage: Bacteria; Bacillati; Bacillota; Bacilli; Caryophanales; Bacillaceae. The record is from RNAcentral.
UCUUGCAAGUCGAGCGGACAGAUGGGAGCUUGCUCCCUGAUGUUAGCGGCGGACGGGUGAGUAACACGUGGGUAACCUGCCUGUAAGACUGGGAUAACUCCGGGAAACCGGGGCUAAUACCGGAUGGUUGUUUGAACCGCAUGGUUCAGACAUAAAAGGUGGCUUCGGCUACCACUUACAGAUGGACCCGCGGCGCAUUAGCUAGUUGGUGAGGUAACGGCUCACCAAGGCGACGAUGCGUAGCCGACCUGAGAGGGUGAUCGGCCACACUGGGACUGAGACACGGCCCAGACUCCUACGGGAGGCAGCAGUAGGGAAUCUUCCGCAAUGGACGAAAGUCUGACGGAGCAACGCCGCGUGAGUGAUGAAGGUUUUCGGAUCGUAAAGCUCUGUUGUUAGGGAAGAACAAGUGCCGUUCAAAUAGGGCGGCACCUUGACGGUACCUAACCAGAAAGCCACGGCUAACUACGUGCCAGCAGCCGCGGUAAUACGUAGGUGGCAAGCGUUGUCCGGAAUUAUUGGGCGUAAAGGGCUCGCAGGCGGUUUCUUAAGUCUGAUGUGAAAGCCCCCGGCUCAACCGGGGAGGGUCAUUGGAAACUGGGGAACUUGAGUGCAGAAGAGGAGAGUGGAAUUCCACGUGUAGCGGUGAAAUGCGUAGAGAUGUGGAGGAACACCAGUGGCGAAGGCGACUCUCUGGUCUGUAACUGACGCUGAGGAGCGAAAGCGUGGGGAGCGAACAGGAUUAGAUACCCUGGUAGUCCACGCCGUAAACGAUGAGUGCUAAGUGUUAGGGGGUUUCCGCCCCUUAGUGCUGCAGCUAACGCAUUAAGCACUCCGCCUGGGGAGUACGGUCGCAAGACUGAAACUCAAGGGAAUUGACGGGGGGCCCGCACAAGCGGUGGAGCAUGGGGUUUAAUUCGAAGCAACGCGAAGAACCUUACCAGGUCUUGGACAUCCUCUGACAUCCUAGGAGAUAGGACGUCCCUUUCGGGGGCAGGGGUGGACAGGUGGUGCAUGGUUGUCGUCAGCUCGGUUGUCGUGGAGAUGUGGGUUAGUCCCGCAACGGAGGGCGCAUCCUGGAUCUAGGUGCAGCAUUCAGUGGCACUCUAAGGGUGACUGCGGUUACAAAUCCGGGAGAAGGGUG